RNAcentral lists this ribosomal RNA (395 nucleotides) under uncultured bacterium. RNAcentral describes it as "partial 16S ribosomal RNA". It matches the Rfam family "Bacterial small subunit ribosomal RNA", at positions 523 to 918 of the family's 1533-position model. The record is from RNAcentral.
AUACGUAGGGUGCAAGCGUUAAUCGGAAUUACUGGGCGUAAAGCGUGCGCAGGCGGUUUUGUAAGACAGUGGUGAAAUCCCCGGGCUCAACCUGGGAACUGCCAUUGUGACUGCAAGGCUGGAGUGCGGCAGAGGGGGAUGGAAUUCCGCGUGUAGCCGUGAAAUGCGUAGAUAUGCGGAGGAACACCGAUGGCGAAGGCAAUCCCCUGGGCCUGCACUGACGCUCAUGCACGAAAGCGUGGGGAGCAAACAGGAUUAGAUACCCUGGUAGUCCACGCCCUAAACGAUGUCAACUGGUUGUUGGGGAUUUAUUUUCUCAGUAACGAAGCUAACGCGUGAAGUUGACCGCCUGGGGAGUACGGCCGCAAGGUUAAAACUCAAAUGAAUUGGCGGGG